UUCUCUUUUUCCUUUUUUUUUCUUCCCUCACCAAUGCUGCCGCCUCCUCCUCCUCCUCCUCCUACUCCUCCUUCUUCUUCUUUUUCUUCACUUCUCCUUCCCCCUUUCUUCUCCUUCACUCACACACCAGCAAAAACAAAUUGGGGACCAUUAUAAGGUCCCCAAACACAUAAAAAAACAAAACAUGGUUGAAACAUCCCAUCAGUGUAGGG
RNAcentral lists this long non-coding RNA (212 nucleotides) under Gossypium barbadense (sea-island cotton). RNAcentral describes it as "long non-coding RNA (GBAR_LNC011425)". The record is from RNAcentral. Lineage: Eukaryota; Viridiplantae; Streptophyta; Magnoliopsida; Malvales; Malvaceae.